AUCAGUGAUCUUUGAUGUUACUAUUGUAAUUGUUUGGGGGCACUACGAACCGUGCCCAUAUACGACGGUGAACUUUUUUUUUUAAGAUUUUUUUUGAUGUGAACCAUUUUAAAAGUCUUUAUUGAAUUAGUUACAAUAUUGCUUCUGUUUUAUGUUUUGGUUUUUGGCUGCGAGGCAUGUGGGAUCUUAGCUCCCAGACCAGGGAUCGAACCUGCACCCCCUGCAUUGGAAGGUGAAGUCUUACCACUGCACUGCCAGGAAAGUCCCUAAGACGAUGGGGGGCAGAGGAUCUGGAAUAGGAUUGUAAAUCCUGGGGGAUGAAGGAGCUACUAGAUGGAAGGAAGCUGGGUCCCUGAAAGACUAGAUGGAACAGAGCCUUUAUUCCACCUCCAUCUCUCAUUGAACUGUGACAUGUGUGAAAGGUUGGAAAUCUGUGAGGUCCUUAUGCUGGGAUCAUUUAAUCUGCAGUUACCUUGAAGACUCCAUUGUGGCUGGAGGGUCCAGGUUGUCUUCACUCAGAUGUGUGGCAAUGGGUGCUGGAUAUUGCCUGAGACUCCUCAGCUCUCCUCCACAUGAUCUCUCAUCUUCUGAUGCUGCUUAUGAAUAUCUGGGAAAUUGGGCAGUGACCAGAUAAGUACAGGUGUACCUUGGAGAUAUUAUGGGUUCGGUUCCAGACUACCACGGUAAAGCGAAUAUUGUGAUAAAGCAAGUCGCACAAUUUUUUUGGUUUAUCAGUGUAUAUAAAAGUUAUACUUACAAUAUA
Lagenorhynchus albirostris (white-beaked dolphin) is the source of this 763-nucleotide long non-coding RNA. RefSeq lists it as uncharacterized. NCBI's taxonomy places the organism in Eukaryota, Metazoa, Chordata, Mammalia, Artiodactyla, Delphinidae. The transcript has 4 exons. The record is from RefSeq and is a predicted model, not a curated record.